Asparagus officinalis (garden asparagus) is the source of this 120-nucleotide long non-coding RNA. RefSeq lists it as uncharacterized. The record is from RefSeq and is a predicted model, not a curated record. Lineage: Eukaryota; Viridiplantae; Streptophyta; Magnoliopsida; Asparagales; Asparagaceae. The transcript has 2 exons.
AAAACGAUUGGAUGAAUGGGGCCCACAGAUUGAUGAGAUUUUAUCUGAUGCAAAAAAUGAAAUCAGACAAAGAUUUGGAGAAAAACUUUACCAGAAAAAAGGACGCCAAGGAAGUGACUU